This 1952-nucleotide small RNA is filed under the name Pan troglodytes (chimpanzee). RNAcentral's name for it is "retained intron". The record is from RNAcentral. Lineage: Eukaryota; Metazoa; Chordata; Mammalia; Primates; Hominidae.
UGUUGGUGAACAGUAGCAAAAUCUGGAGUAACUGUGCCUGGAAUUUUUUGGCCCCAAGUCUAAACAAAGGAAUAGUUUCCAGAUAAGCGCUGUUUGCAUAGGUGGUGGUCUGUCACGUGGUGGGCCAGGCUAUUCAGUUCUUGGUCAGCGAGACGCCUGCCUUGGGUGCUGGAUGCCGGCUGUACGACGUGCGGCUCUCCCCUUUCCAUUUACAGCUGGAGUUCCACAUGAAGGAGAAGAGAGAGGACCUCCAGAUUAGCUGGUCUUUCAUCAGUGUGCCGGAAAUGGCCGUUAAUAUCCAGCCCAAAGCACUGGGGGAGGACCAGGUGGCUGAGACAAGUGCGAUGUCUGACGCUCUCAAGGACAUCUUGAAGCAUUUGGUUGGUUCUGCCUCUCCAUCAGUGGUUCUGAUCAUCAAGCCCACGACUGUAAAGGAAGCUCAGAACUUACAGUGUGCUGCAUCUACUGCUCAGGAAUCCUGUCCUCCUAAACCUCCAAGGGCUCACGAGCUAAAGCUACUGGUGAGGAACAUCCAUGCCUUGCUGCUCAGUGAGCCCGGUGCCUCAGGCCACAUUAAUGCAGUGUGCGUAGUGCAGCUGAACGAUCCUGUUCAGAGGUUCUCCAGCACCCUGACGAAAAACACUCCGGACCUCACGUGGCAAGAGGAAUUCACCUUCGAGUUGAAUGCCAAGUCGAAGGAGUUACACCUGCAGAUUUCAGAGGCUGGGCGAUCCUCACAAGGUCUGCUGGCGACGGCGACAGUUCCUCUGGACUUAUUUAAGAAGCAGCCUUCUGGGCCACAGAGCUUCACGCUGACCAGCGGGUCUGCCUGCGGCAGCUCGGUGCUGGGCUCGGUCACGGCAGAGUUCUCUUACAUAGAACCUGGUGAGUUGAAAUCCUGGCCCAUCCCUCCCCCUGUUCCUGCUGCAAAAAUAGAAAAGGACCGCACAGUGAUGCCCUGUGGGACUGUGGUCACUACUGUCACUGCUGUGAAGACCAAGCCUCGCGUCGACGUGGGGAGGGCGUCCCCGCUGAGCUCUGAUUCUCCGGUGAAGACUCCCAUCAAGGUGAAGGUGAUCGAGAAGGACAUCUCUGUCCAGGCCAUCGCCUGCCGCAGCGCCCCCGUCAGCAAAACACUCUCUUCUUCAGACACAGAAUUGUUGGUGUUGAAUGGUUCGGAUCCAGUGGCAGAAGUGGCCAUUCGACAGCUCAGUGAAUCUUCAAAGCUGAAACUCAAGUCGCCACGGAAGAAAAGCACUAUUAUCAUAUCAGGGAUCUCCAAGGUACCAUCGUGGUGGCUGGGGAGGUGUUCAUCUGGUCAUCUGUCAGUGACCUGCUGCUCCUCUGCCCUUUGAAGAAGUUAGCCCAAGCACUUGGUUAACGUCCAGAGAGUUCCAUUUACAAAUGUCAAAUUAUGUUCCUCACCCCACAAAGGAGUCAUGUGUGGUGUUGUGUUUACACAGUUUAUCCUAUUCACCAAGGACACGGGAGACUUUCUAAUCGGGGACGCUUUACACGUUGAGAGGUUGGCAAAUCAUUUCAAGAAAAAUUAUCGAAAGAGAGGAACAUGAUGUAAGACUCCCCUUUGGUACAGAACCUCUGCUCUCGUCACCACCCAGUCACGGGGAACUUUCACUUUCCACGUGACACGUUUCCAAAGCCUUUUACUUUUUUGCAGUGAAUGUUUAUUCCUUUUGUAAUCAGAGAGAAAUGAACAUUGUAGUGUCCCCCGUGGACACUGCACUCCCUUUCUCCCCCUUCUCCCACUCUGGGACGUCUGCUCAGAGCAGGUGGUGGCGAGUGUGUGGUUUCAGCUGCGGAGAGGCCAGCCCCUCAGGUAAAGGGCCAUGUUACAGAUCCUUACUCUUUUUAUUACAUGUUUUAAAAUUGAUUUUAAAAUUUUUAUCUAUCUAUUUAUUUAUUUUGAGACCAGCUAAUUUGUUAUGAGACUG